Molecule: long non-coding RNA, 983 nt
Organism: Tyto alba (common barn owl)
Lineage: Eukaryota; Metazoa; Chordata; Aves; Strigiformes; Tytonidae
Exons: 2
Source: RefSeq, a predicted model, not a curated record
GAUUUGUCCAGUCCUUACUAUACCAGGUGAGUCGUAGCAAUUAAGAAAGAUACAUCGCCGAUCGUCCUGGUGCUUAACCAUCGCCUGGAUCCGUGCUUCAGCCGGGGAGCCCCGUCACGACGAAGGAUCGGAGAGACUUUCCCGGCAACUGAAUUGACAAAAUGCACGCAAGACAUCGGGUGGAUUGAGUCGACUCGUCGUCCUCCUUUGAGAUUCUUUCCCGAGCCUGGCCGAGGCUUGAGGACAAACCGAGGAAUUCGACCUCGAUAAUGGGCUUCUAAACGAGGAAAUGUCAACAUAAGAGGAACCGAGGGAGUUUGCGUAAUCAACCUCAAUAAUUGGCUCCUAAACUAGGAAAUGUCGGUAUAUUCCUGUACUGUUUUAUCUAAGUUACAUAUCUCAAUAAUGAGAUGUUCUAUCCAAGCUACGUAUGUCAGUAACGAUUGGAUACAGUCAGUAUAUAACACGUUUGGUCGUGAGAUUCGUCCAGAGGGUGACUUUGGCUCGAGACCUGUCGUUCAGGCCUCGGUACUUUGACAGCAGAGCCGAUAAAGGGCAGCGGAGCACGAGCAUGGCCUCGGGAGGCACGCUGACAUCGGGAGAAGAGUCAAACAUAAAAGACGGCUCUCGCACAGGAUGCUUAACUCGAGAAGGCAUCCCCGCGACGUACGGAGGUUCUCGGGGGACAAUCAACCAAACGGAUGCAUCCGAAAUGGCGGUGAUUAAGUAAGACAGCUCUGGGGUGUGGACAAAGCCCGAGGAAGGGAUCUGUCCGCGUAAGAGAUGUACGCGGAGAGCCGUGGAGCUCAAACGGUGCUGUCAGAUACGAGGAUUGUCUCGAAAGACAUCAUGACGAGAAUGAGAGGGCUCCGGGGAGCGGAGGGAACGUGGGUGUGGAGACAAACAAAGGACAAAAAAUAAUUUGAAAAAAACGCGAAUGGAAUACAGGUAGACAGGGUACAUUAAAAGCGAUGGUUAAUAAA